This 497-nucleotide ribosomal RNA is filed under the name uncultured bacterium. RNAcentral describes it as "partial 16S ribosomal RNA". It matches the Rfam family "Bacterial small subunit ribosomal RNA", at positions 28 to 507 of the family's 1533-position model. The record is from RNAcentral.
GAUGAACGCUGGCGGCGUGCCUAAUACAUGCAAGUCGAGCGAACAGACGAGGAGCUUGCUCCUCUGACGUUAGCGGCGGACGGGUGAGUAACACGUGGAUAACCUACCUAUAAGACUGGGAUAACUUCGGGAAACCGGAGCUAAUACCGGAUAAUAUAUUGAACCGCAUGGUUCAAUAGUAAAGGACGGUUUUGCUGUCACUUAUAGAUGGAUCCGCGCCGCAUUAGCUAGUUGGUAAGGUAACGGCUUACCAAGGCAACGAUGCGUAGCCGACCUGAGAGGGUGAUCGGCCACACUGGAACUGAGACACGGUCCAGACUCCUACGGGAGGCAGCAGUAGGGAAUCUUCCGCAAUGGGCGAAAGCCUGACGGAGCAACGCCGCGUGAGUGAUGAAGGUCUUCGGAUCGUAAAACUCUGUUAUUAGGGAAGAACAAAUGUGUAAGUAACUAUGCACGUCUUGACGGUACCUAAUCAGAAAGCCACGGCUAACUACGUG